Pelobates cultripes (western spadefoot toad) is the source of this 423-nucleotide non-coding RNA. Lineage: Eukaryota; Metazoa; Chordata; Amphibia; Anura; Pelobatidae. The record is from the annotation of a GenBank genome assembly.
CUUCAUGUCCUUGCAUUGCAUUUCCACUGAGGCAGUCCUGGAGGAGAGGUCUCGUACUUCUCUUUUGAUCUGGUCCGCCGUGGAUUGCCAUGUGUGGAUCAGUUUUGUUGCCAUCGCAUCCAAAGCUCUCUCAAAGUGCCCUAUUGUGAGGUAAUCUGAGGUCUGGGAGGUUUCUGAAGCUGCCGGAGGGAAGGUAGCGUCCGGGUCCCCGGCGCCAUCUUGCAGUGUGGCCUGUGCGGUCUCUAGUGUCGCGGCCGUUUUUUGCCCAAAAAAACUCAGUUUUUCCGCCUUCGAAAGCGGACUUCGUAGAAUUGGAGGACGACAGAAUGUGCCUGAUGUCGGGUUGUAUUUCUGCGGCUUUAUUCGCUGUAUAUUAGGAGCCCAUGUGCCGGAGCGGGCUUCUAUGCGGCCAUCACUCUCGGC